GACGAACGCUGGCGGCGUGCCUAAUACAUGCAAGUAGAACGCUGAAGAGAGGAGCUUGCUCUUCUUGGAUGAGUUGCGAACGGGUGAGUAACGCGUAGGUAACCUGCCUGGUAGCGGGGGAUAACUAUUGGAAACGAUAGCUAAUACCGCAUAAAAUUGAUUAUUGCAUGAUAAUUGAUUGAAAGAUGCGAUUGCAUCACUACCAGAUGGACCUGCGUUGUAUUAGCUAGUUGGUGAGGUAACGGCUCACCAAGGCGACGAUACAUAGCCGACCUGAGAGGGUGAUCGGCCACACUGGGACUGAGACACGGCCCAGACCCCUACGGGAGGCAGCAGUAGGGAAUCUUCGGCAAUGGGGGGAACCCUGACCGAGCAACGCCGCGUGAGUGAAGAAGGUUUUCGGAUCGUAAAGCUCUGUUGUAAGAGAAGAACGGGUGUGAGAGUGGAAAGUUCACACUGUGACGGUAUCUUACCAGAAAGGGACGGCUAACUACGUGCCAGCAGCCGCGGUAAUACGUAGGUCCCGAGCGUUGUCCGGAUUUAUUGGGCGUAAAGCGAGCGCAGGCGGUUAGAUAAGUCUGAAGUUAAAGGCUGUGGCUUAACCAUAGUAUGCUUUGGAAACUGUUUAACUUGAGUGCAGAAGGGGAGAGUGGAAUUCCAUGUGUAGCGGUGAAAUGCGUAGAUAUAUGGAGGAACACCGGUGGCGAAAGCGGCUCUCUGGUCUGUAACUGACGCUGAGGCUCGAAAGCGUGGGGAGCAAACAGGAUUAGAUACCCUGGUAGUCCACGCCGUAAACGAUGAGUGCUAGGUGUUAGGCCCUUUCCGGGGCUUAGUGCCGCAGCUAACGCAUUAAGCACUCCGCCUGGGGAGUACGACCGCAAGGUUGAAACUCAAAGGAAUUGACGGGGGCCCGCACAAGCGGUGGAGCAUGUGGUUUAAUUCGAAGCAACGCGAAGAACCUUACCAGGUCUUGACAUCCCUCUGACCGCUCUAGAGAUAGAGUUUUCCUUCGGGACAGAGGUGACAGGUGGUGCAUGGUUGUCGUCAGCUCGUGUCGUGAGAUGUUGGGUUAAGUCCCGCAACGAGCGCAACCCCUAUUGUUAGUUGCCAUCAUUCAGUUGGGCACUCUAGCGAGACUGCCGGUAAUAAACCGGAGGAAGGUGGGGAUGACGUCAAAUCAUCAUGCCCCUUAUGACCUGGGCUACACACGUGCUACAAUGGCUGGUACAACGAGUCGCAAGCCGGUGACGGCAAGCUAAUCUCUGAAAGCCAGUCUCAGUUCGGAUUGUAGGCUGCAACUCGCCUACAUGAAGUCGGAAUCGCUAGUAAUCGCGGAUCAGCACGCCGCGGUGAAUACGUUCCCGGGCCU
This 1369-nucleotide ribosomal RNA is filed under the name uncultured bacterium. Its description in RNAcentral is "bacterial SSU rRNA". It matches the Rfam family "Bacterial small subunit ribosomal RNA", at positions 28 to 1381 of the family's 1533-position model. The record is from RNAcentral.